RNAcentral lists this ribosomal RNA (567 nucleotides) under Lacticaseibacillus paracasei. RNAcentral describes it as "bacterial SSU rRNA". It matches the Rfam family "Bacterial small subunit ribosomal RNA", at positions 394 to 952 of the family's 1533-position model. The record is from RNAcentral. Lineage: Bacteria; Bacillati; Bacillota; Bacilli; Lactobacillales; Lactobacillaceae.
ACGCCGCGUGAGUGAAGAAGGCUUUCGGGUCGUAAAACUCUGUCGUUGGAGAAGAAUGGUCGGCAGAGUAACUGUUGCCGGCGUGACGGUAUCCAACCAGAAAGCCACGGCUAACUACGUGCCAGCAGCCGCGGUAAUACGUAGGUGGCAAGCGUUAUCCGGAUUUAUUGGGCGUAAAGCGAGCGCAGGCGGUUUUUUAAGUCUGAUGUGAAAGCCCUCGGCUUAACCGAGGAAGCGCAUCGGAAACUGGGAAACUUGAGUGCAGAAGAGGACAGUGGAACUCCAUGUGUAGCGGUGAAAUGCGUAGAUAUAUGGAAGAACACCAGUGGCGAAGGCGGCUGUCUGGUCUGUAACUGACGCUGAGGCUCGAAAGCAUGGGUAGCGAACAGGAUUAGAUACCCUGGUAGUCCAUGCCGUAAACGAUGAAUGCUAGGUGUUGGAGGGUUUCCGCCCUUCAGUGCCGCAGCUAACGCAUUAAGCAUUCCGCCUGGGGAGUACGACCGCAAGGUUGAAACUCAAAGGAAUUGACGGGGGCCCGCACAAGCGGUGGAGCAUGUGGUUUAAUUC